AGCCCAGCAUGGACCGAUUAUGGGGGGGGGGGGGGAUGCUGAGAUUUGGGGCCGAUUGGGCUGAAUUUGGGGUCGGGUGCUGAGGUUUGGGGUCAGUCUGUGAGAGUUUGGGGUCAGAUGCUGAGAUUUGGGGUCAGAUGCUGAGAUUUGGGGCCGAUUGGGCUGAAUUUGGGGUCAGGUGCUGAGAUUUGGGGUCGGUUUGUGAGAGUUUGGGGUCAGGGCUGGAGAUUUGGGGUCAUUUCAUGAGAAUUUGGGGUCAGAUGCUGAGAUUUGGGGCCGAUUGGGCUGAAUUUGGGGUCGGGUGCUGAGAUUUGGGGUCAGUUUGUGAGAGUUUGGGGUCAGGUGCUGAGAUUUGGGGCCAAUUCAGCUGAAUUUGGGAUUGGGUGCUGAGAUUUGGGGUCAUUUCAUGAGGAUUUGGGGUCAGUCGCUGAGAUUUGGGGUCAGGUGCUGAGAUUUGGGGUGAAUUCAGUGGGAUUUGGGGUCAUUUCCUGAGGUUUUGGGGUCAGGAGCUGAGAUUUGGGGCCGAUUGGGCUGAAUUUGGGGUCAGGAGCUGAGAUUUGGGGUCAGGUGCUGAGAUUUGGGGUCAGGUGCUGAGAUUUGGGGCCAAUUCAGCUGAAUUUGGGGUCAUUUCCUGAGAUUUGGGGUCGUUUUGUGGGAGUUUGGGGUGGAUUCUUUGGGAUUUGGGGUCAGGUCCUGCGAUUUUGGGGUCGAUCCCGGGGAUUUUGGGGUCACUUCUGUGCAAUUUGGGGUCGAUUCGGUUCCCAUUCCCCCCUCUUGGGGUCCCAAUCCCAAACAUUUGGGGUCGUUUCCUGGCAAUUGGGGUCCGCUGUGCCAAAUCCCAUUGAAUCCCCCCCAACUUCUGCCCCUAUUGGUGCCCCCCCUCCAAGUGCCUUCACCCACCCCAAAAAUGGGGGGGGUCCCCCGACCCCACAAUGUGCCCCCCCGACCCCACAAUCCACCCCUAAGACCCAUAACUCCCCCCCCCAGCCUUCCCCGACCCCAUAACCCCCCAGGUGCACCCCAACCCCACAAGGUGCCCCAUAACCCCCCCCCGACCCCUCAUCCUGACCCCACUAUGUGCCCCCCCCAACCCCAUAACCCACCCAUUAACCCUCCCCCAGCCCCCCCCCCCGACCCCAUAACCCCCCAAGGCGCACCCCAACCCCACAGUGUGCCCCAUAACCCCCCCCGACCAACCCCACAUCCUGACCCCAUAACCCCCCCCCAACCCCACAUCCUGACCCCACUUUGUGCCCUCCCCGACCCCACAACCCCCCAAGGCGCACCCCAACCCCACAAGGUGCCCCGUAACCCCCCCGAACAACCCCACAUCCUGACCCC
This 1341-nucleotide long non-coding RNA is filed under the name Gallus gallus (chicken). Lineage: Eukaryota; Metazoa; Chordata; Aves; Galliformes; Phasianidae. The record is from RNAcentral.